Molecule: ribosomal RNA, 375 nt
Filed under: Triticum aestivum (bread wheat)
Lineage: Eukaryota; Viridiplantae; Streptophyta; Magnoliopsida; Poales; Poaceae
Description: partial small subunit ribosomal RNA
Source: RNAcentral
AUGCAUGAUCAGGUCGGCAUCGACUUGGACGGCUUCCCACUCGACCACGAGUUCCCGGACGACUACGGGCUAGAGGAAGAGGACGAGUGCGACAUCAAAGUGGAGCCCUUGUUCGAGGACGAGCUCGCCAACCAAGUCGCCGGUCCUAAGACGAAGCGCAAGAGCAAGCGCACGAAGGCAUACACGGAGGCCGAGGACAAGCUUUUUUGCGAGUGUUGGCGAGACAUUGGACAAGACCCCAAGACGGGCGCCGAACAAAAGCAUUCAACCUUUUGGAUGCGUGUCCACCGAGAGUUUCAUGAGCGCAAGAAGUUUCCGCCUUACCAACUUGUGAGCACGCGCGGUGGGUGUCCAUUUCCAAGCGAUGGAGGGUGA